This 443-nucleotide ribosomal RNA is filed under the name uncultured bacterium. Its description in RNAcentral is "partial 16S ribosomal RNA". It matches the Rfam family "Bacterial small subunit ribosomal RNA", at positions 338 to 795 of the family's 1533-position model. The record is from RNAcentral.
CCUACGGGUGGCAGCAGUGGGGAAUAUUGGGCAAUGGGCGCAAGCCUGACCCAGCAACGCCGCGUGAAGGAAGAAGGCUCUCUGGUUGUAAACUUCUUUUUUCAGGGACGAAGCAUGUGACGGUACCUGAUUAUUAAGCCACGGCUAACUACGUGCCCGCAGCCGCGGUAUUACGUAGGUGGCAAGCGUUAUCCGGAUUUACUGGGUGUAAAGGGCGUGUAGGCGGGAAAGCAAGUCAGAUGUGAAAACCAUGGGCUCAACCUGGGGCCUGCCGUUGAAACUGUUUUUCUUGAGUACGGGGAAGGCAGACGGAAUUCCUAGUGUAGCGGUGAAAUGCGUAGAUAUUAGGAGGAACCCCAGUGGCGAAGGCGGUCUGCUGGACAGCAACUGACGCUGAGGCGCGAAGGCGUGGGGAGCAAACAGGAUUAGAUACCCGAGUAGUC